GCGUGAGUGAAGAAGGCCUUCGGGUUGUAAAGCUCUUUCGCCGGGGACGAUGAUGACGGUACCCGGAGAAGAAGCCCCGGCUAACUCCGUGCCAGCAGCCGCGGUAAUACGGAGGGGGCUAGCGUUGUUCGGAAUCACUGGGCGUAAAGCGCACGUAGGCGGCGCGUUUAGUCAGGGGUGAAAGGCCCGGGCUCAACCCGGGAACGGCCUUUGAUACUGGCGUGCUUGAGUCCGAGAGGGGGUGGUGGAACUCCCAGUGUAGAGGUGAAAUUCGU
RNAcentral lists this ribosomal RNA (275 nucleotides) under uncultured bacterium. RNAcentral describes it as "partial 16S ribosomal RNA". It matches the Rfam family "Bacterial small subunit ribosomal RNA", at positions 399 to 691 of the family's 1533-position model. The record is from RNAcentral.